Non-coding RNA from Mus musculus (house mouse), 79 nucleotides. The record is from Rfam. NCBI's taxonomy places the organism in Eukaryota, Metazoa, Chordata, Mammalia, Rodentia, Muridae.
GGGUCAAUGAUGACAACACAAUGUCAUGAAGAAAGGUGAUGACAUAAAAGUCAUGCUCAAUAGGAUUACGCUGAGGCCC